Molecule: ribosomal RNA, 533 nt
Filed under: Fusarium solani
Lineage: Eukaryota; Fungi; Ascomycota; Sordariomycetes; Hypocreales; Nectriaceae
Description: eukaryotic LSU rRNA
Rfam family: 5.8S ribosomal RNA (bases 155-308)
Source: RNAcentral
AUUACCGAGUUAUUCAACUCAUCAACCCUGUGAACAUACCUAAACGUUGCUUCGGCGGGAACAGACGGCCCCGUGAAACGGGCCGCCCCCGCCAGAGGACCCCUAACUCUGUUUCUAUAAUGUUUCUUCUGAGUAAAACAAGCAAAUAAAUUAAAACUUUCAACAACGGAUCUCUUGGCUCUGGCAUCGAUGAAGAACGCAGCGAAAUGCGAUAAGUAAUGUGAAUUGCAGAAUUCAGUGAAUCAUCGAAUCUUUGAACGCACAUUGCGCCCGCCAGUAUUCUGGCGGGCAUGCCUGUUCGAGCGUCAUUACAACCCUCAGGCCCCCGGGCCUGGCGUUGGGGAUCGGCGGAGCCCCCCGUGGGCACACGCCGUCCCCCAAAUACAGUGGCGGUCCCGCCGCAGCUUCCAUCGCGUAGUAGCUAACACCUCGCGACUGGAGAGCGGCGCGGCCACGCCGUAAAACACCCAACUCUUCUGAAGUUGACCUCGAAUCAGGUAGGAAUACCCGCUGAACUUAAGCAUAUCAAUAGG